Molecule: ribosomal RNA, 467 nt
Filed under: Lacticaseibacillus paracasei
Lineage: Bacteria; Bacillati; Bacillota; Bacilli; Lactobacillales; Lactobacillaceae
Description: bacterial SSU rRNA
Rfam family: Bacterial small subunit ribosomal RNA
Source: RNAcentral
GAUGAACGCUGGCGGCGUGCCUAAUACAUGCAAGUCGAACGAGUUCUCGUUGACGAUCGGUGCUUGCACCGAGAUUCAGCAUGGAACGAGUGGCGGACGGGUGAGUAACACGUGGGUAACCUGCCCUUAAGUGGGGGAUAACAUUUGGAAACAGAUGCUAAUACCGCAUAGAUCCAAGAACCGCAUGGUUCUUGGCUGAAAGAUGGCGUAAGCUAUCGCUUUUGGAUGGACCCGCGGCGUAUUAGCUAGUUGGUGAGGUAAUGGCUCACCAAGGCGAUGAUACGUAGCCGAACUGAGAGGUUGAUCGGCCACAUUGGGACUGAGACACGGCCCAAACUCCUACGGGAGGCAGCAGUAGGGAAUCUUCCACAAUGGACGCAAGUCUGAUGGAGCAACGCCGCGUGAGUGAAGAAGGCUUUCGGGUCGUAAAACUCUGUUGUUGGAGAAGAAGGUCGGCAGAGUAACUG